UACAGCCAUAUCGCCUUGAAAUACCAUUUCUCGUACGAUCGCUGAAGUAAAGCAACGUCGAGCCUGGUCAGUACCUAGAUCGGUGACCGUUUGGUAUUACCACCUGCUGUAAG
Molecule: non-coding RNA, 113 nt
Organism: Acanthosepion pharaonis
Lineage: Eukaryota; Metazoa; Mollusca; Cephalopoda; Sepiida; Sepiidae
Source: the annotation of a GenBank genome assembly